UACAGGCUUAACACAUGCAAGGUCAGGGGCAGCAUGAGAUCAGCUUGCUGAUCUGAUGGCGACCGGCGCACGGGGUGAGUAACGCGUAUCCAACCUUCCCCCUGCUCAGGGAUAGCCCGCUGAAAGGCGGAUUAACACCUGAUAGCUUCACUAGAUGGCAUCUGACGGUGAGUAAAGAUAACGGCAAGGGAUGGGGAUGCGUCUGAUUAGCUUGUUGGCGGGGUAACGGCCACCAAGGCAACGAUCAGUAGGGGUUCUGAGAGGAAGGUCCCCCACAUUGGAACUGAGACACGGUCCAAACUCCUACGGGAGGCAGCAGUGAGGAAUAUUGGUCAAUGGGCGGAAGCCUGAACCAGGUACCCAAGUAGCGUGCAGGGAGACGGCCCUAUGGGUUGUAAACCGCUUUUGCCGGGGAAUAAAGUGUCCCACGCGUGGGGCUUUGCAUGUACCCGGAGAAUAAGGACCGGCUAAUUCCGUGCCAGCCGCCGC
RNAcentral lists this ribosomal RNA (489 nucleotides) under uncultured bacterium. Its description in RNAcentral is "bacterial SSU rRNA". It matches the Rfam family "Bacterial small subunit ribosomal RNA", at positions 41 to 518 of the family's 1533-position model. The record is from RNAcentral.